GGAACAACUAGCUGCCGUGGAUGGACUUUGUGCUCUCGUUUCAAAGGCUGUUGGAGAGUUGGACUCUGUAAGGACUUACCAUGUGAACCUCUCUGUUUUCACAUCAAUCCCAGAUUUCUGGGGUAUCGACCAGCUGUUUCCUAUUGUCCCCAUUCAUCGUCUUGAUCAGAGACCAUCAGUGAGAGGCGUGCUGUCUGAUCUUACCUGUGACAGUGAUGGUAAGAUUGAUAAGUUCAUCGGUGGUGAGUCGAGUUUGCCGUUGCAUGAGCUGGAAGGCAACGGCAAUUUGUCAGGUGGAGGAGGUGGGCGAUACUAUCUUGGGAUGUUUCUGGGCGGGGCUUAUGAGGAGGCUCUCGGUGGUGUUCACAACCUGUUUGGUGGCCCAAGUGUGGUUCGGGUGAUGCAGAGUGAUGGACCGCAUAGCUUUGCGGUGACUCGCACUGUGCCUGGGCCAUCAUGUGGGGAUGUCCUCCGAGUGAUGCAGCAC
RNAcentral lists this unclassified non-coding RNA (487 nucleotides) under Hevea brasiliensis (rubber tree). The record is from RNAcentral. Lineage: Eukaryota; Viridiplantae; Streptophyta; Magnoliopsida; Malpighiales; Euphorbiaceae.